CUUGGUAACCAAGGGUGCCUUCCCUGUGCGCGAAUCUACAGCUCGCUGCCUCUACUCGGCCAUGCUACC
RNAcentral lists this transfer RNA (69 nucleotides) under Pachydactylus scherzi. Its description in RNAcentral is "tRNA-Tyr". The record is from RNAcentral. Lineage: Eukaryota; Metazoa; Chordata; Lepidosauria; Squamata; Gekkonidae.